This 406-nucleotide ribosomal RNA is filed under the name uncultured bacterium. Its description in RNAcentral is "partial 16S ribosomal RNA". It matches the Rfam family "Bacterial small subunit ribosomal RNA", at positions 30 to 526 of the family's 1533-position model. The record is from RNAcentral.
AUUGAACGCUGGCGGCAGGCCUAACACAUGCAAGUCGAGCGAGCGGCGGACGGGUGAGUAAUGUCUGGGAAACUGCCUGAUGGAGGGGGCUAACUACUGGAAACGGUCGCUAAUACCGCAUACCAUCAGAUGUGCCCAGAAGGGAUUAGCUAGUAGGUGGGGUAAUGUGUCACCUAGGCGACGAUCCCUAGCUGGUCUGAGAGGUUGACCAGCCACACUGAAACUAAGACACGGUCCAGAGUCAUACGGGAGGCAGCAAUAGGGAAUAUUGCACAAUGAGCGCAAGCCUGAGGCAGCCAUGCCGCGUGAUGGAAGAAGGCCUUCGGGUUAUAAAGCACUUUCAUCGGUGAGGCGUUACCCGCAGAAGAAGCACCGGCUAACACCGUGCCAGCGGCCGCGGUAAUUC